This 305-nucleotide ribosomal RNA is filed under the name uncultured bacterium. RNAcentral describes it as "bacterial SSU rRNA". It matches the Rfam family "Bacterial small subunit ribosomal RNA", at positions 333 to 654 of the family's 1533-position model. The record is from RNAcentral.
ACUCACCUACGGGACGCAGCAGUGGGGAAUAUUGCACAAUGGGGGAAACCCUGAUGCAGCGACGCCGCGUGAGUGAAGAAGUAUUUCGGUAUGUAAAGCUCUAUCAGCAGGAACGAGACAAGACGGUACCUGACUGAGAAGCCACGGCUAACUACGUGCCAGCAGCCGCGGUAAUACGUAGGUGGCGAGCGUUAUCCGGAAUGAUUGGGCGUAAAGGGUGCGCAGGCGGUCCUGCAAGUCUGGAGUGAAACGCAUGAGCUCAACUCAUGCAUGGCUUUGGAAACUGGAGGACUGGAGAGCAGGAG